ACUGAUUCUGCUACAAGAAGAAGUAAUUUUUAUGAAGAUUGUUCAAGUAGCAUCAAAGUGCCAUUUACGGAUAUAUGCAAUACAAUUAAAAUAAGACAAAAGAAAUUGUGGAGGGAAGUGUGGGAUGUGACUAAUGAAAAUAAAGGAAAAUGGUAUGCGGAAAUUCAAAAGGAAAUACCAAUACAACCAUGGUAUUUCAAAACGAAGUGUGAAUCUAGAAAAUUUACAUCAUUAAUGAAUAGACUGAGAUUUGGUCACUGUCUGGUGACAACACACCUGAAUAAAAUAAAAGUACUAAACAGUAAAAAAUGCAACUAUUGUGAAUAUGAGGAGGCUGAUGUUAAUCAUAUUAUGAUACUCAAAUGUCCAGCUUUUGGCAUACAAAGACUUAUAUUAGCCAGUGAUCUAAACACUAUAAAUAUGGAACAAAAACAAAAAAUUGAUUUUCCCCGCCAUGUAAAGGAUUUGUUGUGUAAAACGUCAUAUUUUAAGUCUAUUUUUAAUUAUAUAUGCAAUACUAUAAAUAAAGUGUAAUAACGUUAGACUAAUUAUUAGUUAUAAGCAAUUUUGUAUUUUUAGAAUAAUAUUUAGUUAUAAGCAAUUUUGUAUUUUUAGUAUUUGUAAAUUUUUGAAAGGCCUUAAAGAACUGUUAUCCAGGGCCGUAAAAUAAAUU
Long non-coding RNA from Maniola jurtina (meadow brown), 673 nucleotides. RefSeq lists it as uncharacterized. The record is from RefSeq and is a predicted model, not a curated record. NCBI's taxonomy places the organism in Eukaryota, Metazoa, Arthropoda, Insecta, Lepidoptera, Nymphalidae. The transcript is spliced from 2 exons.